GGCAGACGGGAGAGUAAUACUUUGGUAACCUGCCUCUUAGUCGUGAAUAACAUCGAAAGAUGGGAUAAUACACGAUGGCCUAGAUAUUCGAGAGAAUAUUUAGUAAAGAUUUAUCGCUAAGAGAGGGGCCUAAGGCCUAUCAGCUAGUUGGUGAGAUAAUAGCCCACCAAGGCAACGACGGGUAGCAGGUGUGAGAGCAUGACCUGCCCCACUGGGACUGAGACACUGCCCAGACACCUACGGGUGGCUGCAGUUAAGAAUAUUCCACAAUGCGCGAAAGCGUGAUGGAGCGACGCCGCGUGAAUGAUGAAGUCCUUCGGGAUGUAAAGUUCUUUUAUUAGGGAAAAAUUUUGAUGUUACCUAAUGAAUAAGGGGCUGCUAACUUCGUGCCAGCAGCAGCGGUAAUACGAAGGCCCCGAGCGUUAUCCGGAUUUACUGGGUGUAAAGGAUCUGUAGAUGGUUUGAUAAGUUAGUCGUAAAAACUUUUAGCUUAACUAAAUUUCUGCGGCUAAUACUAUUUGACUAGAGGACGGAAGAGGUAAGCGGAAUUGGUGGUGCAGUUGUAAUAAGCGUUAAUAUCACCAAGAACACCAAAAGCGAAGGCAGCUUACUAGUACGUUCCUGACAUUGAGAGAUGAAAGCGUGGGUAGCGAAACGGAUUAGAUACCCGUGUAGUCCACGCCCUAAACGAUGAGUGCUAAGUAUUGGAAGUAUCGACCCUUUCAGUACUGUCUUAUUCAAGCUAAGCACUCCACCUGGGAAGUACGGCCGCAAGGCUAAAACUCAAAGGAAUUGACGGGGACCCGCACAAG
Molecule: ribosomal RNA, 812 nt
Filed under: uncultured bacterium
Lineage: Bacteria
Description: bacterial SSU rRNA
Rfam family: Bacterial small subunit ribosomal RNA
Source: RNAcentral